Zootoca vivipara (common lizard) is the source of this 4230-nucleotide long non-coding RNA. RefSeq lists it as uncharacterized. The record is from RefSeq and is a predicted model, not a curated record. Lineage: Eukaryota; Metazoa; Chordata; Lepidosauria; Squamata; Lacertidae.
GAAGCGGCGUGAGGAGAAGGGGGCGGGGCGGGGCGCCCUGCGCACGCGCGCACAUCGCGCUUCAAGCCCUACUACGCAAAGGAGCUGAGGAGAUGGAACUUGUCGGAGCAAAGAGCAGCAGUUUGAUUUACGGUAGUACCGGUCUCCGCCGGCGAGCGGAGGUCCCGGGCUGAACCACUGGCUGAGAAAAAAGACCCAGCCUGGAGAAGAGAAUUCUGGUAGAAGAAUCACAGGUUGCUCAAGCAGAGUCUAGUACCCUCUCCCUCUCAGCUUUCUAAUGAUAAGUGCUGCCAGCAGAAGGAGAAGAAAUGAAUACACAGACUCACAGAUAUCUGGAAUAUUGUCACAGUGGUAUAAAUCUCUCGUACCUAAGAAAACCCCAAACCGCAUUGAAAUUUAUGUUAAGGACAUAAAAAGAGGCUCCUUGGAUCAAAGGCCCAUCUACUUCUCAUAGUGACCUACCACAUGCCUGUGGGAAGCCUGCAGGCAGGAGCUAAGUGAAAUUCUGAUAUGUGCUUUAACAUCCCCAAGUAUUCCUUGACAUCUGCUUUAUUUGAAAGAAUAAAUCUUACAUAAAUGCAGUUGAUAAAAUGUUAGGAGGCUUAAGUUUUUGCUUUGUAGACUACAGUCCCAUACACACUUACCUGGGAAUAGGUCUUGUUGACCUCAGUGGGGCUCAUUUCUAAGUAGACAUGCAUAGGCGUGUGCUGUCAGUAACUGUACAGGUUGUCAAGAUCUGGUUUUACCUCUUCUAUGGCAUCAAAAAUACAUUGAUUCAAAUUAUGUUUCUCAAGAUCAAUGCCUUUCAUCAGCAUCUUUUUUCUUUUUGAUUUUUUGGCAAAAUCCACUCACUUCAGUAGUUAUUUGAAAUGGAAGACAAUUAGGGAAGAAGAGGACUGCCACAAGCUAGGUUUCAUGUUAUGUUUUUCGAAGAAGGGUGUCUUCACUGAUGAUUACAUUUGUUUUAUUACACCGAAAAAGUACAGUACACCCAAAGAGGAAGUGUGCCGAGCCUACAGAUCAACAAAAAACAGGAGAAGGAAAAUGCUGAAGUGUGGAAUACUAAAAUGACUAAUCAUUUCCUGUUUUCUGCAACCCCCAGAAUUUUCAUAUGGGAAACAUUACAGUCUUAUCUAUAGACAUGUGCUUGGAAGGUAGAAACCUGGAAGGUCAAAAGGUUACAAAAUGGCCCAGUGUCUUGGACUCACUUUCAUUCAACCGAGCAUGUGCUCACAACUAUGAAUCCUUUUCACCAAAUAAAGUUUUAGAGUUUUCCCAAAGAUGCCUUUGGAAUAUUACUACAGUACAAACUUUAGGGGUAAGGAGGAGGAAAUGGAGAAAAGGGGGGACAGAGAGAGUUACAACUGAUGGCGCUCUGCUGAUAAAGCAUUUGGGACAUGAUCAAGAUAAAGGUAAGCAAUAACCAACAACAGCAAAACCAUAGCAACAACAAUAAUUUUUAUACAGGUAUAUGCCAAAUAUUAUUAUUACAGUAUUAUUAUUAAUGCAAAAAUAUGCUUAUAAGCAGCUUACAAAACACUAAAAAGUUUCAUCACAAAUGAUAAACUUCCAAAAUAAACACAAUAAAACAAUCCCAUUAAUACAUUAAAAUUUAAACAUUCAUGAAACAUAAAAGUACCUUUUAAGCCAUCUUGAUUUUAAUAUGGGGGAGCUAAGCACAUACUUUUGUUCUUUUGUCAGGAUCAUGCCUAGUUUUUUUGGAAAUAUGCUAUUGGGAUUUGACACACAAUUCACUAUUAAGUAUGCUAGAAUCAGUACCCUUCAUGACUCAACCUGGGGGGUCACAUGCCUAGUGCACCUUCAUGACCCACCAGAUUUCAGUUACAUGCAAAUUAUUUUCUUUUUAGCCUACUUUAUGCUGUACUUUUACUCUUUUCUGCAUGGUGCACCUUGUUUCAAAAAUUUCACAUCCACUGAUGUGCCAAGUCAUUUAAGCUGCCUAACUGGGAACAAAUUUAAUAAGCAAACAGCACUUUUUCAUUUACCCAUCUAAAUUCAUUUAAAUUCAUGCACAUUUUAAGUGGGUUCCUUUGCCUAAAAAUAGCUGAUAGUUGGUAAAAAAAAAAAAAGCAGGCCUGCUUUUCUGUAGUGGAGAUUAAGUGACAGCCUCACCUGAAGAAUGUGCUAAAUGUGGGUAUCGCUUAGAGAUCUAAUUUCAUGAUACCAAAACAAAACUUUGCCCCCAAGGCUUGGGGAACUGGAAAACAGUUGCCAGCAUCUAUUGAUGAUGAGCAGGUUCUUCCCUCCCUGACUGCACCUGGCUGGACUGAUGGAUUUGGCUUUCAGUGCCAAAAGAGAAAGGUCAUCUGCUUCAACAAUGCUGUGUACAAAGUGUACUGUGUGCAGCUGUGUAUACAAAACUGUGUACAAUUCUUUUUUGCGGUGGGGGGGGGAACCAGUUUCUGCCCAUGCAGUAUCACAAUGUUGCAUUAAGACAAUUCUUCCUGUAGUGCAUUUGCACUAUAGCAGGGUCCUAAACAGAUUAACCUAAAGGCAACUCCCAAAUUUAAAAGAGCAUGAUAUGCAGUGUGUGUUACGGUAGCCUUCACCAAUCUGGUACAUUUUGGAUGCUUUGGGCUAAUAAUUAUUUAUUUUUUACCCUGCCCAUCUGACUGGGUUGCCCCAGCCACUCUGGGCGGCUUCCCAACAUAAUUUACGGAAACAACAACACAACAGAACAUCACACAUUAAAAGCGUCCAGAUUUAAGGCUGCCUUCAGAUGUCUACAGAAGGUCAUAUAAUUAUUUAUUUGACAUCUGACAGGAGGGCGUUCCACAGGGUGGGUGAGAAGGUCCUCUGCCUGUAACUUCACUUCUCGCAAUGAGGGAACUGCCAGAAGGCCCCCGGAGCUAGAUCUCAAUGUCUGGUCUGAAGAACGAGGGUGGAGCUGCUCCUUCAGGUAUACAGGGCUGAAGCCAUUUAGGGCUUUAAAUGGCAAAGCCAACACUUUGAAUUGUGCUUGGAAACGUACUGGUAGCCAAUGUGGGUCUUUUAGAACUGGUUUUACAUGGUUCUGGUGGUGGCUCCCAGUCACCAGUCUAGCAGCCACUUUCUGGAUUCCAAGUCUCCUCCAAAGGUAGCCCCGUGUAGAGCGCAUUGCAGUAGUCCAAGCAGGAGAUAACUAGAGCAUGUACCACUGGUGCGGCAGUGGCUAUAUAACAACAAAUUGCAUUAGUUUUACAUCCACACUGAGGAUCAUGGUUUGUUCUGCCCUCACAGGCAACAAUCACUACCCAGCCCGAAACCAUGUUUGUUGCUAGAUUGCCAAUGAGUUAUGACAUUGGACUGUGCUAUGGCAUAAAGCUAAGCUAUCUUUUGCCUACUCAUUCUGGGGGAGAAGGGAAGCAGGAUUGAUCAGGCUGCAUGCUCUAGCUUGCAACUUGUAUACAGUGUGAUUUAUUAACCCAGUAUGCAAACAUAUCCACUGCUAGCUGGUUCUUUGUCCCUCUAUAUUGGUGAAAGCCACAGAGUCAAAGGUUAAAGGUUAAACCACCAGCAUUCCACAUUAAGACAGUUCCCUUUAUAUUUUUGGCCAUCAAACCCAUCUCUGGUUCCAUAGAAGGCUGUAGGUAGGCCUACCUAUCAGUAUUAGCCAACUACUUGACCCUCACUUGACCUUUGCAUCAAUUGGAUGUGAUGAGCUUAGAAAAAGAAGUACUGGAACUCUGAGCUGGUGCAGUUUAGGUAACUGUGGUGACUUAGAGUUCUUUCCAAGUGUGAAUCAUGAAACUAAGCAGAAUUGGAACUGUAAGAUUGCUAUCUGGAAGGACAAUGAUGAGGUCCAGCAUGAGGUCACUCGGAGAAAUAUUACUAGUUUUCCGCAGGGUUACAAAGAACUGACUGGUGUUCUCUAGAAAUCGGGCAUGUAGUGUCACCAAUCCUAUUCUGUGGAACACUUAUCCAACAGUAAGAGCUGUUCGGCAGUGGAAUUUGCUACCAAGGAGUGUGGUGGAGUCUCCUUCUUUGGAGGUCUUUAAGCAGAGGCUUGACAGGCAUAUGUCAAGAAUGCUUUGAUGGUGUUUCCUGCUUGGCAGGGGGUUGGACUGGAUGGCCCUUGUGGUCUCUUCCAACUCUAUGAUUCUAACAGGCAGUCUCACUUUUGACUUCCAGACCUUUUGUAUGUAGACAUGCCUAUAUAACUUUUCUUCCUUUUUAAUGUUUUUAUGGUGUUUAUGGUGUUUUAUAUUUUAUUGUAUAUACUGUUGCACA